This 200-nucleotide ribosomal RNA is filed under the name uncultured bacterium. RNAcentral's name for it is "partial 16S ribosomal RNA". It matches the Rfam family "Bacterial small subunit ribosomal RNA", at positions 8 to 202 of the family's 1533-position model. The record is from RNAcentral.
AGAGUUUGAUCCUGGCUCAGGACGAACGCUGGCGGCGUGCCUAAUACAUGCAAGUCGAGCGAACAGAUAAGGAGCUUGCUCCUUUGACGUUAGCGGCGGACGGGUGAGUAACACGUGGGCAACCUACCCUAUAGUUUGGGAUAACUCCGGGAAACCGGGGCUAAUACCGAAUAAUCUGUUGUCUCUCAUGAGACAAUACU